RNAcentral lists this ribosomal RNA (716 nucleotides) under uncultured bacterium. RNAcentral describes it as "bacterial SSU rRNA". It matches the Rfam family "Bacterial small subunit ribosomal RNA", at positions 134 to 860 of the family's 1533-position model. The record is from RNAcentral.
GACUCUGGGAUAAGCGCUGGAAGCGGCGUCUAAUACCGGAUACGAGCUGCGAAGGCAUCUUCAGCAGCUGGAAAGAAUUUCGGUCAGGGAUGAGCUCGCGGCCUAUCAGCUUGUUGGUGAGGUAAUGGCUCACCAAGGCGUCGACGGGUAGCCGGCCUGAGAGGGUGACCGGCCACACUGGGACUGAGACACGGCCCAGACUCCUACGGGAGGCAGCAGUGGGGAAUAUUGCACAAAUGGGCGAAAGCCUGAUGCAGCAACGCCGCGUGAGGGAUGACGGCCCUUCGGGUUGUAAACCUCUUUUAGCAAGGAAGAAGCGAAAGUGACGGUACUUGCAGAAAAAGCGCCGGCUAACUACGUGCCAGCAGCCGCGGUAAUACGUAGGGCGCAAGCGUUAUCCGGAAUUAUUGGGCGUAAAGAGCUCGUAGGCGGUCUGUCGCGUCUGCUGUGAAAACCCGAGGCUCAACCUCGGGCCUGCAGUGGGUACGGGCAGACUAGAGUGCGGUAGGGGAGAUUGGAAUUCCUGGUGUAGCGGUGGAAUGCGCAGAUAUCAGGAGGAACACCGAUGGCGAAGGCAGAUCUCUGGGCCGUAACUGACGCUGAGGAGCGAAAGGGUGGGGAGCAAACAGGCUUAGAUACCCUGGUAGUCCACCCCGUAAACGUUGGGAACUAGUUGUGGGGUCCAUUCCACGGAUUCCGUGACGCAGCUAACGCAU